GACGAACGCUGGCGGCGUGCUUAACACAUGCAAGUCGAACGGCAAGGCCCUGCUUUUGUGGGGUGAUCGAGUGGCGAACGGGUGAGUAACACGUGAGUAACCUGCUCUUGACUUUGGGAUAACUUAAGGAAACUGGGGCUAAUACCGGAUAGGAGCUCCUGCUGCAUGGUGGGGGUUGGAAAGUUUCGGCUGUUGGGGAUGGACUCGCGGCUUAUCAGCUUGUUGGUGGGGUAGUGGCUUACCAAGGCUGUGGCGGAUAGCCGGCCUGAGAGGGUGACCGGCCACAUUGGUACUGAGGUACGGCCCAGACUCCUACGGGAGGCAGCAGGGGGGAAUAUUGCACAAUGGGCGGAAGCCGGUUGCGGCAACGCCGCGUUCGUGAUGCCGGCCUUCGGGUUGUAAACCGCUUUCGCCUGUGACGAAGCGUGUGUGACGGUAAUGGGUAAAGAAGCACCGGCUAACUACGUG
RNAcentral lists this ribosomal RNA (468 nucleotides) under uncultured bacterium. RNAcentral's name for it is "partial 16S ribosomal RNA". It matches the Rfam family "Bacterial small subunit ribosomal RNA", at positions 28 to 507 of the family's 1533-position model. The record is from RNAcentral.